This 481-nucleotide ribosomal RNA is filed under the name uncultured bacterium. Its description in RNAcentral is "partial 16S ribosomal RNA". It matches the Rfam family "Bacterial small subunit ribosomal RNA", at positions 30 to 506 of the family's 1533-position model. The record is from RNAcentral.
AUUGAACGCUGACGGCAUGCUUUACACAUGCAAGUCGAACGGUAACAGGCCGCAAGGUGCUGACGAGUGGCGAACGGGUGAGUAAUGCAUCGGAACGUGCCCAGUCGUGGGGGAUAACUACUCGAAAGAGUAGCUAAUACCGCAUACGAUCUAUGGAUGAAAGCGGGGGACCGUAAGGCCUCGCGCGAUUGGAGCGGCCGAUGUCAGAUUAGGUAGUUGGUGGGGUAAAGGCUCACCAAGCCAACGAUCUGUAGCUGGUCUGAGAGGACGACCAGCCACACUGGGACUGAGACACGGCCCAGACUCCUACGGGAGGCAGCAGUGGGGAAUUUUGGACAAUGGGCGCAAGCCUGAUCCAGCAAUGCCGCGUGCAGGAAGAAGGCCUUCGGGUUGUAAACUGCUUUUGUACGGAACGAAACGGCUCUGGUUAAUACCCGGGGCUAAUGACGGUACCGUAAGAAUAAGCACCGGCUAACUACGU